CCAUCGUUCAAACCCUCCCUCCCCGGCCUUUUCCCGGCUAGGGUUUCUGACCGUCCUUCCGUCUCCCGUCGCCAUGGAGAGUUCCUCCUGAUCUUUCGAUUCGAUCUGUUGACCCAUGAUUUAUUGUUUUCCCUUCUGAUUCGUGUCUUUGAUUGGUGAAACUCCGUGAAUAGCCCACAAGCGAUCGAAUUUUACCCCAGAGGUUUUCGGUCUUGAAGGAAGAAUGUUUGCCAGGAAUCGUUGUGCGGAGAAGGUGCUGAUGACGAAGAUACAUGUUAUUGUAUCCAGAAGCAUGUUGGAUUCAUAGGACAGUGUUAGUGUAAACAACUUUGUGUCGUGGCCUUGGGGCCGACGCGGCUUGUGUCGGGUUCGAAUGGCAGGGAUCUCGUCGUCACUGAAGUGGCGGGCGUCGCAGAUCAGACCGUGUCGAGCUUGAUCGGGGUGUUCCGUAGAGGAGGCCUCCUUUGCUUUGCCUCCCGAGGGCGCUAACCUCGUCUUCUCAUCUGCACACAAGUCGGGUCGAGGGGCUCAGCCCGACCCCUUCGACGAUCAAGGAGCGGGUUGCGUCUGACACUGGUGUUGGCGUGGCGUGAAUGAUCGAGUCUGAACAGAUCGUUAAUGGGUCUCAGUCUACGUUCUGUUUCGUUUGACCAGGUUCCAUCGGGUAGGUUGAGGUGUGAGACGUCGUCUGGGACAGCUGACGUCUGCGCAGGUCUUGUCACCAUUUAUUACCCUCAUCAGACAGUAAUGGCUUGCUGUCCAUGAUGAAUCAUCAAAUCUCCAUUAGGUGGUCGACAAGGUUCAUGAUGAAGCUACUCCUGCAUCUUUUAGAUUGGGAUACGACAACAUGGAAAAAGGUUUCUUAUCCUUUUAAAAUAUGCCCAAUUGAAAGGUCCCCUUACCAAUGUGCAAUCUGGAGAGUGAAUAACAGGCACAUUGCGACCAAAUGCAUUUAUGAAUUUAGAGGCAAAUGCUGGUGGUUGGCCUUGGACAUGCAAAGGAAAUUAUAAAGCUGGACAACAAUGAAUUACAAUAUGUUUGCUAAUCAGUCAUGCUGUUCACUGUUUAAUUAGUACCAAAAAUAGUUCUCCGAAUGA
This is a non-coding RNA of Musa acuminata subsp. malaccensis (wild Malaysian banana), 1097 nucleotides long. The record is from RefSeq and is a predicted model, not a curated record. NCBI's taxonomy places the organism in Eukaryota, Viridiplantae, Streptophyta, Magnoliopsida, Zingiberales, Musaceae.